Scylla paramamosain (green mud crab) is the source of this 3206-nucleotide long non-coding RNA. RefSeq lists it as uncharacterized. Lineage: Eukaryota; Metazoa; Arthropoda; Malacostraca; Decapoda; Portunidae. The transcript is spliced from 4 exons. The record is from RefSeq and is a predicted model, not a curated record.
UGGAGAGAAGAGACCCCGCGGCGCACCUCAGCUGUCUUUGCGCAUGCGUGAGGGUGUCCGGUGGCGUGCGUGUGGGAGAGUCACGUCCUUCAUUUCACUCGAUUUUGCCAGCGAUUCUAGACGGUCUCCGCGACACCGAUUGGUCAAGGAGAAGCGAACUAAAAUGCGUGUGUUUGUGUGUGCGUGUGCUUCAAUCCCUCACUGUCCUCACCUGCUUCACUGUUCCCGUCUCACCUGCCCCCACUGGAGACGAAGAUGCGAUGGCCGGGAAUCGAACCCGGGUCAACUGCUUGGAAGGCAGCUAUGCUCACCACUAUACCACCAUCGCCUGAAGGGAAGAAGUGGUUUUAUAUCAUGUACGUUGUGUUCUCACCUUUGAAUGAAUGCUUUUGAAGUGAAACUCAAAGGACGAUUUUCAAUGGCUAAAGGUGAGAGUUAUUUUUUCAAAGCUUUUCGUCAAGUUUGUCAAUUUUUCACUGCCAUAUUUUGUCCUUUGUUAACUUUCAGAGGGAUGUAAAAGAUUAAUUGCAUAGAUACACAAACAGCGAGGGUAGAAAGUUAAUUUUUGUCCCUUUGUUGUGUUGUGGAGCGAUUCUAGAGUACAAGAGUGAAAAGUUCUUGGUUACGGGAGAAAUGGUCUUUUAUUUGUGUUCGGAGGAAAGGCCAAGUGCGAAGAUGGUGGUCGUAAGAAAUAAGAAAAAAAAAGUCCUUGUAAUUUUUUGUUGUGUUCAUUUUGAUAGUUGCCUUUUGGGGAGGUCAUCUUCUGUAGUAUUUUUAUUUACCUCCAGUUUUUUUCUGUUGCUCCUGGCCAGAACCUCUCACUUAAAAAUAAAUAAAUCAAUAAAAUAAAAUGCUCUCCGUAAAUUGAUUAACUUAGAUAACUGCUCUUCCAUCUUUUGAGUCUUUGCACAGACACCAGUGGCUGAUGAUGACAAAGACAAAAAACAAAAAAACAAAAGAAGGAGCAAUGGUUAAAUGAACGAUUGGGAGACAGGAGGAGGAUAACCCAGUAGAGGGAUACGAGGAAAGGUCACAGCGGCGCCAAGGAAGUUACCGGAGGAGCUUCAGAGAUAAAUACGGUUGCAGUGAUGUCUUUUUUCUGUAUGUUGAGAUGGGCCUUAGAAAAAAAAAAAAAGUAAAUAAAAAAUAAAAUAAAAUAAAAUAAAUGCUAUUAGUAAAACAAUUAACUUAAACUGCCUCACUAUCUUCGACUUUCUGCACGUGAGGAUACUGAAUGAUGAAAAUUAACGAUCAAGAAACAGUGGAGAGAUGCAGGAGUGACGGAAAUGUCAGUGGGGGCAGCAGAAGGCUAUGAACUAAGGCACCACUGCAAAAGGUUACCGGAGGACUGUCAGGUAUUACAACUCGCAUUUUCAGUGGUCCAUUUUCUUUUUAAUUGUCUUUUUUACUGUCAUUUACUCGGAAAUUGUACCAGUAAAGGCAUAAGCUUAGCAAACUGGCUCUCUAUAUUUACUUAUCUUUGCAUUGAAGGAAUUAGGUGGUGAUGAAAAUUCACUUAAAUAAAAGCAAGAUGCCUAAGGGAAAGGGCAGGAGGUCAGUAAAAGGAUACCAGCAAAGGCAACACUUGAGAAGGUUAUCAUAGCAAUUAAAAUCAUGAAACUUGGAGAAGCAUCAGAGGUAUUGGUAUUACAAUUGAAAUGAAAUGUGGAGGGGACUCUAGUUGAUUGGAUACACCUCAUACUUACCUGGAGGGGAUACAGAGCUGCAUGAAAAAAGCUACAUUAAUUCCAGCAUACAAGGAACAGUAGAGAUAGAUAGAUGGAUAGAUAGAUAGAGAGAUAGACAGAUAGAUAGAGAGAGGAAUUAAGGAGAAUCAUGUUGUGGGAUUAUACAACCAGGAAAGUAGAGUUUUUAUAGAGUAGCUUUAGUGAAGAACAUGAUGAAAUAGAGAGAAAUGUGAAUGUGAAUCAUGUUGUGGGAUUAUGCAACCAGGAAAGUAGAGUUUUUAUAGAGUAGCUUUAGUGAAGAACAUGAUGAAAUAGAGAGAAAUGUGAAUGUGAAAACUGACAAUGCUUUAGAGUGUGGGUCCAAAAAAGAUCGUGGGAUUACAACAGGAAAGUAGAGAUUUAUGGUGUAGCAUUGGUGAAGGACAAGAUGGAAUAGGAGAGAGAGAAGUGAACGCCAGGACUACUGAGACAUUAACUUAAGUGCAGCAAUAUAGAGGGGUUAUAGCAAUAAGAAAAUACAGUUUUACGUAGAAAAGCAUUGAUGAUGAUGACGCAAUACAAGAGAGAUGUGGAAACAGUGUGGGGAAAAAGGUGGUAGGAUUACAACAGUAUGGUAUUAGACUACAACGAAUAGUGACAUAGGAGAAUAACUAGAUGCAAUAGGAGAGAAAUGUAGCAACUAUAGAGGUAUUAACUAUGCCUUAAAAAAAUAUGGUGGAUUUGUAACGGCAGGCAGGUAGAAUGACAUAAGUAGUAGCAGUGGUGUAGAAAAAGGUGGAUUUAGGACUAGAGUGUUAGGAUCAGAGAGUCAGUUCGUGGAUGGUAGAAGAAAAAUGUAGCUAUACAGAAAAUUAAUUUGUAAAGGGAAAGUGUGUGUGUGUGUGUGUGUGUGUGUGUGUGUGUGUGUGUGUGUGAAGCAGAUUAUUGCUUAAUUAUAGUUAUGAAAUUGUAGCCAAAAAGUGAAUGGAUUUAGAAAUGACAAAGGGACGUAAGGAUGAGAUUGCCAGUUUAGGAAUGAUGGGUGAAAAUAGUUACUGGAAACGAGAUUGAUGUAGAAAUGGAAAUGAAAUGUCACAUUGUCGAUUUAGGAAUGAUAGUUAAAAGAAAAUGUAGCAAAAUAAAGGAGAAAUUUAGAAAGCAGAGCAUGUACGCAGAUUAGACCGAAUCAUUUGCUGAAAGAAAAAAAAUAAUGCGAGAAACAAAACAGAUGUAUUAAGAAAAACUAGAAAAAUCAAACCCAGAAACGAAACAGACUUAUAAAAGAAAAGAAAACGUCUGGAUGAAAUCGCCAAUUUGAAAAUAAAAACUAAGAACAGAAGAAGAGGAGGAAGAAGAAGAGAAACAAACAUACACAGCAAAGCAGAAUGAGGCUAUAAGCAACCAACACAUCUAGAACUCGUGGAUCCAUUUAACAUAAUUGACAGACCAGGAUACAAGUGUGCUGGGCUGCGAACACUGUAGGUAUGGCGGGCGAGGAGAGUCACUCAAUGAAAUGAACACACACAUAGGCACGUGUUU